Molecule: ribosomal RNA, 508 nt
Filed under: Curvularia affinis
Lineage: Eukaryota; Fungi; Ascomycota; Dothideomycetes; Pleosporales; Pleosporaceae
Description: eukaryotic LSU rRNA
Rfam family: 5.8S ribosomal RNA (bases 147-292)
Source: RNAcentral
AGGCUGGAGUAUUUUAUUACCCUUGUCUUUUGCGCACUUGUUGUUUCCUGGGCGGGUUCGCCCGCCUCCAGGACCACAUGAUAAACCUUUUUUAUGCAGUUGCAAUCAGCGUCAGUACAACAAAUGUAAAUCAUUUACAAUACAACAAAUGUAAAUCAUUGACAACUUUCAACAUGAAGAACGCAGCGAAAUGCGAUACGUAGUGUGAAUUGCAGAAUUCAGUGAAUCAUCGAAUCUUUGAACGCACAUUGCGCCCUUUGGUAUUCCAAAGGGCAUGCCUGUUCGAGCGUCAUUUGUACCCUCAAGCUUUGCUUGGUGUUGGGCGUUUUUUGUCUUUGGUUUUGUCCAAAGACUCGCCUUAAAACGAUUGGCAGCCGGCCUACUGGUUUCGCAGCGCAGCACAUUUUUGCGCUUGCAAUCAGCAAAAGAGGACGGCACUCCAUCAAGACUCUAUAUCACUUUUGACCUCGGAUCAGGUAGGGAUACCCGCUGAACUUAAGCAUAUCAA